CAUUACUGAGUGAGGGCCCUCUGGGUCCAACCUCCCACCCGUGUUUAUUGUACCUUGUUGCUUCGGUGCGCCCGCCUCACGGCCGCCGGGGGGCUUCUGCCCCCGGGUCCGCGCGCACCGGAGACACUAUUGAACUCUGUCUGAAGAUUGCAGUCUGAGCAUAAACUAAAUAAGUUAAAACUUUCAACAACGGAUCUCUUGGUUCCGGCAUCGAUGAAGAACGCAGCGAAAUGCGAUAACUAAUGUGAAUUGCAGAAUUCAGUGAAUCAUCGAGUCUUUGAACGCACAUUGCGCCCCCUGGUAUUCCGGGGGGCAUGCCUGUCCGAGCGUCAUUGCUGCCCUCAAGCACGGCUUGUGUGUUGGGCUCCGUCCCCCCGGGGACGGGUCCGAAAGGCAGCGGCGGCACCGAGUCCGGUCCUCGAGCGUAUGGGGCUUUGUCACCCGCUCUGUAGGCCCGGCCGGCGCCAGCCGACAACCAAUCAUCCUUUUUUCAGGUUGACCUCGGAUCAGGUAGGGAUACCCGCUGAACUUAAGCAUAUCAAUAAGCGGAGGAAAAGAAACCAACAGGGAUUACCUCAGUAACGGCGAGUGAAGCGGUAAGAGCUCAAAUUUGAAAGCUGGCUCCUUCGGGGUCCGCAUUGUAAUUUGCAGAGGAUGUUUCGGGAGCAGCCCCCAUCUAAGUGUCCUGGAACGGACCGUCAUAGAGGGUGAGAAUCCCGUAUGGGAUGGGGUGUCUGCGCCCAUGUGAAACUCCUUCGACGAGUC
Molecule: ribosomal RNA, 765 nt
Filed under: fungal sp.
Lineage: Eukaryota; Fungi
Description: eukaryotic LSU rRNA
Rfam family: Eukaryotic large subunit ribosomal RNA (bases 497-765)
Source: RNAcentral